This 253-nucleotide ribosomal RNA is filed under the name uncultured bacterium. RNAcentral describes it as "partial 16S ribosomal RNA". It matches the Rfam family "Bacterial small subunit ribosomal RNA", at positions 524 to 776 of the family's 1533-position model. The record is from RNAcentral.
UACGAAGGGGGCUAGCGUUGUUCGGAAUCACUGGGCGUAAAGGGCGCGUAGGCGGCUUUAUAAGUCGGGGGUGAAAGCCUGUGGCUCAACCACAGAAUUGCCUUCGAUACUGUAGAGCUUGAGACCGGAAGAGGUAAGUGGAACUGCGAGUGUAGAGGUGAAGUUCGUAGAUAUUCGCAAGAACACCAGUGGCGAAGGCGGCUUACUGGUCCGGUUCUGACGCUGAGGCGCGAAAGCGUGGGGAGCAAACAGG